Molecule: ribosomal RNA, 839 nt
Filed under: uncultured bacterium
Lineage: Bacteria
Description: bacterial SSU rRNA
Rfam family: Bacterial small subunit ribosomal RNA
Source: RNAcentral
CAGCAGUACUUUUCGGAGUAGCUGGCGACCGGCGCACGGGUGCGUAACGCGUAUGCAAUCUACCCACAGCAGAGGGAUAGCCCGUGGAAACAUGGAUUAAUACCUCAUAACACAGGGAGCCCACCUGGGCAUAUUGUUAAAGCUACGGCGGCAGUGGAUGAGCAUGCGUCCCAUUAGUUAGUUGGUACGGUAACGGCGUACCAAGACGAUGAUGGGUAGGGGUUCUGAGAGGAUGAUCCCCCACACUGGUACUGAGAUACGGACCAGACUCCUACGGGAGGCAGCAGUAGGGAAUAUUGGUCAAUGGACGGAAGUCUGAACCAGCCAUGCCGCGUGCAGGAAGACGGCCUUCUGGGUUGUAAACUGCUUUUCUCAGGGAAGAAAAGGGCCUUGCGAGGCAAAUUGCCGGUACCUGAGGAAUAAGCACCGGCUAACUCCGUGCCAGCAGCCGCGGUAAUACGGAGGGUGCGAGCGUUGUCCGGAUUUAUUGGGUUUAAAGGGUGCGUAGGCGGCCUAUUAAGUCAGUGGUGAAAGGUAUCAGCUUAACUGAUGACGUGCCAUUGAAACUGAUAGGCUUGAGUACAGACGAGGUAGGCGGAAUUUAUGGUGUAGCGGUGAAAUGCAUAGAUACCAUAAAGAACACCGAUAGCGAAGGCAGCUUACUAGACUGAGACUGACGCUGAGGCACGAAAGCGUGGGGAGCGAACAGGAUUAGAUACCCUGGUAGUCCACGCUGUAAACGAUGAUUACUGGAUGUGUGCGAUAGACAGCACGCGUCUGAGCGAAAGCGUUAAGUAAUCCACCUGGGGAGUACGAUCGCAAGAUUGAAACUCAAAGGA